AGGAAGUGUGAGGAGGCUGGAAAGGACCCUGUGCUUAGCCAAAAUACCUGGAGAGCCAGAGAAAAUGGCGGGAUGUGAGAGGGGGAAAGGAUGGGGUCACACAAAGAAAAAGAGUUAGGCUUGACCUCUUUUCCACUCCAGGAAUGAGAUGUAAGCCAGGAGGCAAGCCUGAGGCCGAGAAGCCCCCAGGGAUGGCAGAGUCUCCUGCAGGACUGGAUGUGGCCAGGGCUGAGGUCAAGGCCCCGAGGGCAGCCGUGGGCAAGGUGGAUGGAAAUGAGACCAAGAGAAAAAAAUAAGUGGCUUCAUAACCUCACUUUAUCCAGAGAGUGGAAAAUAAAAUGCAAGAUUCCAAUCCCUGCCCUUCCAUUUCAUCUUUGAAAAAUACAGGUGAAUGUUUAUGAAUCAUUUUCAAAGUUGACCUAGUGUCUAUGGAAACAGAAAGUGACGAAGACAGCAGUGCUGAUCUGACGGAAAGAUUGUUUUCAUUUUCUUGCAAACAUCAUUAGGAUGGUAUUGUUUUCUUAUUUGUGAAUGUAAAAGUAUGUGACUUGAUUUUUUUUCUCUUGACAACAAAGAACGGCAAGGGUGUGGGGAGGUGGGUCCGACUGCCAGGCUAGUCUGGAUUUUGCCAGCAAUAUGACCAAUGACCAAUUCUUCCUGUAUUUGAACUCCUCUGGGAGAUUCUUCCCUGGAGAAGGAAAUGGCAACCCACUCCAGAGUUCUUGCCUGGAGAAUCCUACGGACGGAGAAGCCUGGUAGGCUGCAGUCCGUGGGGUCGCACAGAGUCGGACAUGACUGAAGCGACUUGGCGGCAGUGGCGGCGGCGGCGGCGGGAGAUUCUUCCCAGUCCUUGCCUCUUCCCAGUCACCCACAGUGAAUGUCUGGCCAUCUGAGGGCCACCUGGCCUGAACGCUGUGUUACACUAGUUUGGCAAGAUAUGCCACCCUUGCUUCUGUGGUAAUUGGCAUUGCGAAGAAGAGCUGUUUGCUGCAUUAUUCUGCAGGAUGAAACACUGGCAGUGUACAAAUCUGCGUGCUAGGGAGGUAUGAGACUACAGCCCUAAGUCACAGGUGACCAGUCAGCCUAUCUGACUCUCCACCCAAGUCUCCUGGGCUUCCGACUCUAUGAACCUCUGGUAAUGAGAGCAGAGGGGAGCCACGUGCCCCAGCAGUGUUCUCCUGUCGUCUGCCACACCUUCCCUGCUUCCUCUGGCCCUCUAGGAUGUCAUCCUCAUCUGGUUUUCAUCCUACCCAACCCCUGUGCUUGCUGCUCCUGCUCUGCUU
Molecule: long non-coding RNA, 1283 nt
Filed under: Bos grunniens (domestic yak)
Lineage: Eukaryota; Metazoa; Chordata; Mammalia; Artiodactyla; Bovidae
Description: lncRNA (ENSBGRG00000018105.1)
Source: RNAcentral